UGUGUUUGUGUGUGUGUGUGUGUGUGAGUGUGUGUAUCAACACACACACACACACACACACACACACACACA
Molecule: non-coding RNA, 72 nt
Organism: Pelobates cultripes (western spadefoot toad)
Lineage: Eukaryota; Metazoa; Chordata; Amphibia; Anura; Pelobatidae
Source: the annotation of a GenBank genome assembly